GUGAGGAAUAUUGCGCAAUGGAGGCAACUCUGACGCAGCCAUGCCGCGUGCAGGAAGAAGGUGCUACGCGUUGUAAACUGCUUUUAACCGGGAAGAAACCCCAGGACGUGUCCUGGGUUGACGGUACCGGAGGAAUAAGCACCGGCUAACUUCGUGCCAGCAGCCGCGGUAAUACGAAGGGUGCAAGCGUUAUCCGGAUUCAUUGGGUUUAAAGGGUGCGUAGGCGGAGCGUUAAGUCAGUGGUGAAAUCCUGCAGCUUAACUGUAGACUUGCCAUUGAUACUGGCGCUCUUGAGUGCGCUUGAAGUGGGCGGAAUGUGCCGUGUAGCGGUGAAAUGCUUAGAUAUGGCACAGAACACCAAUUGCGAAGGCAGCUCACUAAGGCGAUACUGACGCUGAGGCACGAAAGCGUGGGGAUCGAACAGGAUUAGAAACCCGGGUAGUCC
RNAcentral lists this ribosomal RNA (445 nucleotides) under uncultured bacterium. RNAcentral's name for it is "partial 16S ribosomal RNA". It matches the Rfam family "Bacterial small subunit ribosomal RNA", at positions 354 to 796 of the family's 1533-position model. The record is from RNAcentral.